GCUGCUAUAGUGUAGACCGGCCAAUCAUUCCGGCCUUUCACGCCGGAGACUGGGGUUCAAAUCCCCAUAGCAGCA
Molecule: transfer RNA, 75 nt
Filed under: Methanomicrobiales archaeon
Lineage: Archaea; Methanobacteriati; Methanobacteriota; Methanomicrobia; Methanomicrobiales
Description: tRNA-Glu
Rfam family: tRNA
About the family: Transfer RNA (tRNA) molecules are approximately 80 nucleotides in length. Their secondary structure includes four short double-helical elements and three loops (D, anti-codon, and T loops).
Source: RNAcentral